GGGGAUGACCAGGAUUUGAUUGGACGUUCCAAAGUUUGAGAGCAAGCCGAGUCUGAUAGAACCUCGUUAAACUCUAUCAAAAGUUAAAUGCAGACGAAAAUGCAUAUGUAGCCCAACCAGCAAUGGUCGGCGCUCUAGCUUAACAUUUAAACUAAGCUAGGAUCUUUGGCUUCUUGUCUGGAAGGGGCACAAAGGUCUUAUAAAACCAGACUGCGGAGAUUGAGGAUUGAUUCGACUCAAAAUCCAAGCACGGUAGUGUAAAUCAUAGAAUCUAUGAAGGGCUUUAGGUUGGUCAGUUCCCUUUCCUUCUGAGUAAAAACUAACUACGCUUGUAAACUUUUAAAUUUCUGGCUUUCAAGACAGGGGUUCGAUUCCCCUCAUCUCCACCA
RNAcentral lists this transfer-messenger RNA (389 nucleotides) under candidate division WWE3 bacterium. It matches the Rfam family "transfer-messenger RNA". Rfam says of the family: Bacterial tmRNA, also known as 10Sa RNA or SsrA, is named for its dual tRNA and mRNA-like properties. Its role is to liberate the mRNA from a stalled ribosome. The record is from RNAcentral. Lineage: Bacteria; candidate division WWE3.